UCGCUCCAUUAGACGCACUUUUUUCCUCCUAAAAAGUAGGGGGAAAUGUGAGUGCGUCUUAUGGAGCGAA
This is a non-coding RNA of Podarcis lilfordi (Lilford's wall lizard), 70 nucleotides long. The record is from the annotation of a GenBank genome assembly. NCBI's taxonomy places the organism in Eukaryota, Metazoa, Chordata, Lepidosauria, Squamata, Lacertidae.